GACGAACGCUGGCGGCGUGCCUAAUACAUGCAAGUAGAACGCUGAAGGAGGAGCUUGCUCUUCUGGAUGAGUUGCGAACGGGUGAGUAACGCGUAGGUAACCUGCCUGGUAGCGGGGGAUAACUAUUGGAAACGAUAGCUAAUACCGCAUAAGAGUAGAUGUUGCAUGACAUUUACUUAAAAGGUGCAAUUGCAUCACUACCAGAUGGACCUGCGUUGUAUUAGCUAGUUGGUGGGGUAACGGCUUACCAAGGCGACGAUACAUAGCCGACCUGAGAGGGUGAUCGGCCACACUGGGACUGAGACACGGCCCAGACUCCUACGGGAGGCAGCAGUAGGGAAUCUUCGGCAAUGGACGGAAGUCUGAACGAGCAACGCCGCGUGAGUGAAGAAGGUUUUCGGAUCGUAAAGCUCUGUUGUAAGAGAAGAACGAGUGUGAGAGUGGAAAGUUCACACUGUGACGGUAUCUUACCAGAAAGGGACGGCUAACUACGUG
This 495-nucleotide ribosomal RNA is filed under the name uncultured bacterium. Its description in RNAcentral is "partial 16S ribosomal RNA". It matches the Rfam family "Bacterial small subunit ribosomal RNA", at positions 28 to 507 of the family's 1533-position model. The record is from RNAcentral.